UGUGCAAUGCACGAAAGUAUGACACAGAGAGGACACAUUUAAUUGAGCCCGUCAAAUUAAGUGCCAGCCGACGCGGUUAGACUUAAGGGCUGGUCUUUAUAAGUAAAAAGGCGUAAAGGAUGUGUAGGCCAAGAAAUUGUCCAAGAAGGUAAAUGGAAUUUUUCUGGAGCGGUAGAAUGUGAGGAUAGAAAAUAGAACACCUAAGGUUAAAACUAUUUACCACAAAAUAGGCUGAAACAUGAAAGUGUGGGGAGCAAACAGGAUUAGAGACCCUGGUAGUCCACACUGUGAACUUUGAAGAUGAUGCUUAGCAGACCCGAAAGGUAAAAUCUUCCGCCUGAGUAGUACGAUCGCAAGAUUAAAAUUCAAAAACUUUGGCUGUUCACUAUUUCGAUUAGAGGAGCGUGUAGUUUAAUUCGAUGGUCCGCGUGUUACCUUACCCCAGCUUGAAUCUAUGACCGGUAUUGCAUGGCCGUCGUAAGUCCGUGUGUUAAGCUAGAAGGGACCCAAUCCGGGCGUUUGCCCGAAGGAAGUCAGGUCUUAUGAUCCGAAUGUUGGGGGAUUUUAUGCGCUACAUUUUCUUAUAUAAUGAGAGACUUGAAAGGUAAGCCUCUAAAGUAAGAGUUCGGAAGGUCGCUGUAAAACGACUGGAAGUUGGAUUUAAUAGUAAUCGGAAAGUAGGGCGUUCCGGUGAAUUGGUACAAGUGUUAGCACAAAUUGCCCGUCACCUUUACCUAGGAUGGUUAUUCGGACGCCUUCGGUGGUUAC
This 768-nucleotide ribosomal RNA is filed under the name Metridium senile (brown sea anemone). RNAcentral's name for it is "partial small subunit ribosomal RNA". It matches the Rfam family "Bacterial small subunit ribosomal RNA", at positions 365 to 1439 of the family's 1533-position model. Lineage: Eukaryota; Metazoa; Cnidaria; Anthozoa; Actiniaria; Metridiidae. The record is from RNAcentral.